RNAcentral lists this ribosomal RNA (302 nucleotides) under uncultured bacterium. Its description in RNAcentral is "bacterial SSU rRNA". It matches the Rfam family "Bacterial small subunit ribosomal RNA", at positions 338 to 657 of the family's 1533-position model. The record is from RNAcentral.
CCUACGGGUUGCAGCAGUGGGGAAUAUUGGACAAUGGGCGAAAGCCUGAUCCAGCAAUGCCGCGUGUGUGAAGAAGGUCUUCGGAUUGUAAAGCACUUUCGACGGGGACGAUGAUGACGGUACCCGUAGAAGAAGCCCCGGCUAACUUCGUGCCAGCAGCCGCGGUAAUACGAAGGGGGCUAGCGUUGCUCGGAAUGACUGGGCGUAAAGGGCGCGUAGGCGGUUUUUGCAGUCAGAUGUGAAAUCCCCGGGCUUAACCUGGGAACUGCAUUUGAGACGCAUGGGCUAGAGGUCGAGAGAGG